AUGUUGAUCUCACCAUGGAUGUGGUGGCCCUUACCACUGCAUAUCAGAUGUGGGAGCACCUUCGCCAUCGCUAUGAGUCUACAGGGGAUGCCAUGUAUCUCUCUGUUGUUCGUCAAGAGCAACAACUACCUACAACAGGGAGAUGCUACUGUGGAUGAUUUCUACAAGGAGAUGUCGGCGGUGUGGCGCCAAUUGGACUCUUUGGGAGCUGAUGUUUGUCACAGAUGUCAGUGUUGUGUGCGGCAACAAGCUAAGCUGGAGGUUCGUCGCCUCUACGACUUCCUCAGUCGCCUCCGGCCGGAGUUCGAGCAGAGUCGUGCUUAG
This 324-nucleotide ribosomal RNA is filed under the name Triticum aestivum (bread wheat). RNAcentral describes it as "partial small subunit ribosomal RNA". The record is from RNAcentral. Lineage: Eukaryota; Viridiplantae; Streptophyta; Magnoliopsida; Poales; Poaceae.